UAGCAAUUCAAAAUAAUCAACCCACUUUAAUUGAUAAAAAUGAGGUAAAAUAUUUAGGUAUAAUGAUUAACAAGGACCACACUGGAAAUUAUAGAACAAAUAUUCAAACCAUUUUACAAA
Long non-coding RNA from Fundulus heteroclitus (mummichog), 120 nucleotides. RefSeq lists it as uncharacterized. Lineage: Eukaryota; Metazoa; Chordata; Actinopteri; Cyprinodontiformes; Fundulidae. The record is from RefSeq and is a predicted model, not a curated record. The transcript has 2 exons.